GAUGAACGCUGGCGGCGUGCCUAAUACAUGCAAGUCGAGCGAACAGAUGAGGAGCUUGCUCCUCUGACGUUAGCGGCGGACGGGUGAGUAACACGUGGAUAACCUACCUAUAAGACUGGGAUAACUUCGGGAAACCGGAGCUAAUACCGGAUAAUAUAUUGAACCGCAUGGUUCAAUAGUGAAAGACGGUUUUGCUGUCACUUAUAGAUGGAUCCGCGCCGCAUUAGCUAGUUGGUAAGGUAACGGCUUACCAAGGCAACGAUGCGUAGCCGACCUGAGAGGGUGAUCGGCCACACUGGAACUGAGACACGGUCCAGACUCCUACGGGAGGCAGCAGUAGGGAAUCUUCCGCAAAGGGCGAAAGCCUGACGGAGCAACGCCGCGUGAGUGAUGAAGGUCUUCGGAUCGUAAAACUCUGUCAUUAGGGAAGAACAAAUGUGUAAGUAACUAUGCACGUCUUGACGGUACCUAAUCAGAAAGCCACGGCUAACUACGUG
This 497-nucleotide ribosomal RNA is filed under the name uncultured bacterium. Its description in RNAcentral is "partial 16S ribosomal RNA". It matches the Rfam family "Bacterial small subunit ribosomal RNA", at positions 28 to 507 of the family's 1533-position model. The record is from RNAcentral.